Megalobrama amblycephala (Wuchang bream) is the source of this 338-nucleotide long non-coding RNA. RefSeq lists it as uncharacterized. The record is from RefSeq and is a predicted model, not a curated record. NCBI's taxonomy places the organism in Eukaryota, Metazoa, Chordata, Actinopteri, Cypriniformes, Xenocyprididae. The transcript is spliced from 3 exons.
CCCACAGGGAGAAUGCUGAACAUGCAGUAGAUGGAAACAGAGGCUCCUGCUCUCACACUAAUCCUGAGUUUAAUCCAUGGUGGAGAAUUGACCUUGGAAAUGUCUACAGUGAGGCAAAAUUGAACCUCCUUCACAAAUCAACCACUCAGAGAGCCACAGCCAUGGAGAUGAACUUUACUUGAACAUAUUUUAUCCAGACUGUGAUUAGACAUUUGGCUGCAACUAUCGUCACUGCUCCUGAUGGCACACAAACAUUUUCAUUUGAGCCUGUUAUUGGCCGAUAUGUCAACAUUUUUUUACCUGGGAAUGAUGAAGUCCUUACUCUGUGUGAAGUCGAG